RNAcentral lists this transfer RNA (71 nucleotides) under Prevotella denticola. Its description in RNAcentral is "tRNA-Val(tac)". It matches the Rfam family "tRNA". From Rfam's summary of the family: Transfer RNA (tRNA) molecules are approximately 80 nucleotides in length. Their secondary structure includes four short double-helical elements and three loops (D, anti-codon, and T loops). Lineage: Bacteria; Pseudomonadati; Bacteroidota; Bacteroidia; Bacteroidales; Prevotellaceae. The record is from RNAcentral. RNAcentral also lists the same sequence under 3 other names.
GUUUAGCUCAGCUGGUUUAGAGCAUCUGCCUUACAAGCAGAGGGUCGGCGGUUCGAAUCCGUCAACGCCCA